CUAAUACAACAAAAGCCCUACCUCUCAAUUGUCCUUGCGGCUCCGAUGACCGCGCCAGCUUGAAUCAGAAAUACUCGAAU
RNAcentral lists this small RNA (80 nucleotides) under Paenibacillus antibioticophila. RNAcentral describes it as "BsrC". It matches the Rfam family "BsrC". Rfam says of the family: The 301 nucleotide sequence from Kouji Nakamura has been trimmed to a highly conserved ~85 nucleotide long core to form this family. Lineage: Bacteria; Bacillati; Bacillota; Bacilli; Caryophanales; Paenibacillaceae. The record is from RNAcentral.